AAGGCGAUAUUUUAAUGUGAUUAAUGCAGGCGUCCUUCAGGCGUGCUUACAGCCACCCCAGCUGUUAGCAUGUAGCUGGUGGAGGUGAGUACACGUGAGCAGAAUUAUAAGUUGUUAAAAAGUCGAUUUUAAGUUGAGUUAAGUAGCUUUUGUGACUUGUUUUUGACAUGCGAGGGCUCUUGGGAGUGUUCUGUGAGAAGUUUAGCUGUAGCUUUAAAAAGAAAAGCAAGUUAUAUGUGUGAUAAUGCUUCGAUUAGCGUGUUGCUAAUAGAAGCUAACUUCUCAUGAGUGAGUGUUAAGUUACUUCGCUGUCUUAACCUGAACAGAGUGUGAUGCUGGAUAAUACACAUUAGCCACGUUUACAUGCGCAAAAUCUCCUCUAUCCGAUGAAAAUCUUGGCUGUUCAGAAAUCCCAAAUGUCUGUAAUGGACACUAAUUUAUGCACCAAGCAUUCCAUCCGAAUAAAUAGGUUGAGCAUGCGCAGAGAAUUGUAUUUCCUGGAAAAGAUGGUAAACAAAUGCCAUGAAACGAAAUGAAAAGUGUAAUGUGCAGAAUUUUUGAUCUGACUGGGUGUUCAGUCCAUUUACUUGUGCCCAUUUAAACGUGGCUAGUGAUGGAAAUUGUGUGUUCUGUUAUACCAGGUAGGCUCAUGUAUGAAUGUUACAGUAGAAAAAUGUAUUUGUGUUACAAGUGUUAUUAGCAACUUUUGGUCAUCCACUAUAAUCUGUUUUUUAUGUAAAAUGUGAAAAAAAACUUGAAUAGUAAUAAUAACCACUAUACAAUCACGCAGCACAGUAACAUGCAAGUUGGUGGAGACCCCUGUGUGAGGCUGGAUAACACAUAUUGAUGGAAAUUGUGUGUGUUCUGUUGGACCAGAUUGCUGCCAAUAAAAGCAAGUUGAAGAAUAAUCUGGUGCCAUAAUCUGCUUUUUGGUGAAUGUGGAGCACAAGAGUGAUGACACAAAUUGUCCAGACCACAUCUACUGAGCAGCGUGCCUGUCAAAUGACUCCCUAGCCUUCUUCCAGUUUCUGAACCCCAGAGAAAUAUAGGACUGUAAUGGAGCCAGGGGAAGAUUUUGAACCAGCUCUCCUGGAAGUGAAGAGUGCGGUUCGGCAGAGUUUGUGGCUCGAUUAGCUGUGCUGCUGGUUGGUAUGGGGAACCUGGACCCUCAGCUGUAUGGAUGUUUGCGUGUGGAGCGUUAUCCUGCUUCCCCACAUCAGUAGCUGAUGACUCGACCUAUAAUGUAAUUAUUCAGUUGUCAUUAGUUUCCAUACAUAGUUCUCAGAAAUGUUUUGAUUCUACACAGUGUUCUCCAAUUGGUCUACUAUUGCCAUUAUGUUAUAUACACAACUUACUUUUCUGUUUGUAUUUUGGUAGUAAUUGUAGUGUUGUAGAUCUAUCUGUUGUUUUAAUCAAAUCUGUUUUCCUUCCACAUUUUUGUACAAGUUGAACCAAUGCAAAGCCCUGCAGAUGGAUAAAACUUGCAUAUGUUUGCUUCCUGAACCCUCACCUGCUGAAUCUGAUCUGAGCUUGUUUCAACACUCUCCAUUUCUUCAUCCAGUGAUUGCACUUGCUGUAAGAGUAUACCAAAUUUGGUUUCAUAUUUACUGUAAGGUUAUAUGAUUUUCUGUUGAUGUGAAUUUCACCUCUCCAUUCUCAGCUGCCUGUUCCUGAAUGUGUUCAUUUUCCUCUGUCACAUGCUGUUCCUGAUAGAAAAUGGAUAUUCAAAUAAACAUUACAACUUUUGUGAUUUUA
Nothobranchius furzeri (turquoise killifish) is the source of this 1755-nucleotide non-coding RNA. NCBI's taxonomy places the organism in Eukaryota, Metazoa, Chordata, Actinopteri, Cyprinodontiformes, Nothobranchiidae. The record is from RefSeq and is a predicted model, not a curated record.